ACAGUCAGGGAGGAAAGUUUCCAUGCACCACUCUGAAGUAUAGUGUGGAUUAUGGUUUAGUGUUUACUG
Molecule: small nucleolar RNA, 69 nt
Filed under: Caenorhabditis japonica
Lineage: Eukaryota; Metazoa; Nematoda; Chromadorea; Rhabditida; Rhabditidae
Description: snoRNA CJA48948
Source: RNAcentral